UACAGAGGUGGCAAGCGUUGUUCGGAAUUACUGGGCGUAAAGGGCGCGUAGGCGGCCUUCUAAGUCAGACGUGAAAUCCCCCGGCUUAACCUGGGAACUGCGUCUGAUACUGGGAGGCUUGAGUAUGGGAGAGGGAUGUAGAAUUCCAGGUGUAGCGGUGAAAUGCGUAGAUAUCUGGAGGAAUACCGGUGGCGAAGGCGGCAUCCUGGACCGAGAUUGACACUGAGGAGCGAAAGCCAGGGGAGCAAACGGG
RNAcentral lists this ribosomal RNA (253 nucleotides) under uncultured bacterium. RNAcentral describes it as "partial 16S ribosomal RNA". It matches the Rfam family "Bacterial small subunit ribosomal RNA", at positions 524 to 776 of the family's 1533-position model. The record is from RNAcentral.